GACGAACGCUGGCGGCGUGCUUAACACAUGCAAGUCGAACGGAAAGGCCCUGCUUUUGUGGGGUGCUCGAGUGGCGAACGGGUGAGUAACACGUGAGUAACCUGCCCUUGACUUUGGGAUAACUUCAGGAAACUGGGGCUAAUACCGGAUAGGAGCUCCUGCUGCAUGGUGGGGGUUGGAAAGUUUCGGCGGUUGGGGAUGGACUCGCGGCUUAUCAGCUUGUUGGUGGGGUAGUGGCUUACCAAGGCUUUGACGGGUAGCCGGCCUGAGAGGGUGACCGGCCACAUUGGGACUGAGAUACGGCCCAGACUCCUACGGGAGGAAGCAGUGGGGAAUAUGGAAAAAUGGGCGGAAGCCUGAUGCAGCAACGCCGCGUGCGGGAUGACGGCCUUCGGGUUGUAAACCGCUUUCGCCUGUGACGAAGCGUGAGUGACGGUAAUGGGUAAAGAAGCACCGGCUAACUACGUG
Molecule: ribosomal RNA, 468 nt
Filed under: uncultured bacterium
Lineage: Bacteria
Description: partial 16S ribosomal RNA
Rfam family: Bacterial small subunit ribosomal RNA
Source: RNAcentral